Molecule: ribosomal RNA, 497 nt
Filed under: uncultured bacterium
Lineage: Bacteria
Description: partial 16S ribosomal RNA
Rfam family: Bacterial small subunit ribosomal RNA
Source: RNAcentral
GAUGAACGCUGGCGGCGUGCCUAAUACAUGCAAGUCGAGCGAACGGACGAGAAGCUUGCUUCUCUGAUGUUAGCGGCGGACGGGUGAGUAACACGUGGAUAACCUACCUAUAAGACUGGGAUAACUUCGGGAAACCGUAGCUAAUACCGGAUAAUAUUUUGAACCGCAUGGUUCAAAAGUGAAAGACGGUCUUGCUGUCACUUAUAGAUGGAUCCGCGCUGCAUUAGCUAGUUGGUAAGGUAACGGCUUACCAAGGCAACGAUGCAUAGCCGACCUGAGAGGGUGAUAGGCCACACUGGAACUGAGACACGGUCCAGACUCCUACGGGAGGCAGCAGUAGGGAAUCUUCCGCAGUGGGCGAAAGCCUGACGGAGCAACGCCGCGUGAGUGAUGAAGGUCUUCGGAGCGUAAAACUCUGUUAUUAGGGAAGAACAUAUGUGUAAGUAACUGUGCACAUCUUGACGGUACCUAAUCAGAAAGCAACGGCUAACUACGUG